This 253-nucleotide ribosomal RNA is filed under the name uncultured bacterium. RNAcentral describes it as "partial 16S ribosomal RNA". It matches the Rfam family "Bacterial small subunit ribosomal RNA", at positions 524 to 776 of the family's 1533-position model. The record is from RNAcentral.
UACGUAGGGGGCAAGCGUUGUCCGGAAUCAUUGGGCGUAAAGAGCGUGUAGGUGGCUCGGUAAGUCCGCUGUGAAAGUCCAGGGCUCAACCCUGGAAAGCCGGUGGAAACUGUCGAGCUCGAGUCCGGAAGAGGCGAGUGGAAUUCCUGGUGUAGCGGUGAAAUGCGCAGAUAUCAGGAGGAACACCAAUGGCGAAGGCAGCUCGCUGGGACGGUACUGACGCUGAGACGCGAAAGCGUGGGUAGCAAACAGG